Molecule: ribosomal RNA, 556 nt
Filed under: uncultured bacterium
Lineage: Bacteria
Description: partial 16S ribosomal RNA
Rfam family: Bacterial small subunit ribosomal RNA
Source: RNAcentral
UAGGGAAUCUUCCACAAUGGACGCAAGUCUGAUGGAGCAACGGCCGCGUGAGUGAAGAAGGUUUUCGGACCGUAAAGCUCUGUUGUUGGUGAAGAAGGAUAGAGGUAGUAACUGGCCCUUUAUUUGACGGUAAUCAACCAGAAAGUCACGGCUAACUACGUGCCAGCAGCCGCGGUAAUACGUAGGUGGCAAGCGUUGUCCGGAUUUAUUGGGCGUAAAGCGAGCGCAGGCGGAAGAAUAAGUCUGAUGUGAAAGCCCUCGGCUUAACCGAGGAAUUGCAUCGGAAACUGUUUUCUUGAGUGCAGAAGAGGAGAGUAGAACUCCAUGUGUAGCGGUGGAAUGCGUAGAUAUAUGGAAGAAUACCAGUGGCGAAGGCGGCUCUCUGGUCUGCAACUGACGCUGAGGCUCGAAAGCAUGGGUAGCGAACAGGAUUAGAUACCCUGGUAGUCCAUGCCGUAAACGAUGAGUGCUAAGUGUUGGGAGGCUUCCGCCUCUCAGUGCUGCAGCUAACGCAUUAAGCACUCCGCCUGGGGGAGUACGACCGCAAGGUUGAAAC